Molecule: ribosomal RNA, 468 nt
Filed under: uncultured bacterium
Lineage: Bacteria
Description: partial 16S ribosomal RNA
Rfam family: Bacterial small subunit ribosomal RNA
Source: RNAcentral
GACGAACGCUGGCGGCGUGCUUAACACAUGCAAGUCGAACGGAAAGGCCCUGCUUUUGUGGGGUGCUCGAGUGGCGAACGGGUGAGUAACACGUGAGUAACCUGCCCUUGACUUUGGGAUAACUUCAGGAAACUGGGGCUAAUACCUGAUAGGAGCUCCUGCUGCAUGGUGGGGGUUGGAAAGUUUCGGCGGUUGGGGAUGGACUCGCGGCUUAUCAGCUUGUUGGUGGGGUAGUGGCUUACCAAGGCUUUGACGGGUAGCCGGCCUGAGAGGGUGACCGGCCACAUUGGGACUGAGAUACGGCCCAGACUCCUACGGGAGGCAGCAGUGGGGAAUAUUGCACAAUGGGCGGAAGCCUGAUGCAGCAACGCCGCGUGCGGGAUGACGGCCUUCGGGUUGUAAACCGCUUCCGCCUGUGACGAAGCGUGAGUGACGGUAAUGGGUAAAGAAGCACCGGCUAACUACGUG